CCUACCGUUCUGGCUCUGAAGUGGUCCAGUGACUCCAGUCUAGGAAAAGAAAGAGCAAAGCUAAAUUGAGAGGCGCGUAUGGCCCGAGUCAUUACUCCAAGCUUCGCAGCUUUUGUCUGCGAGCCCCUCCGAGCUUUGGCUCGACUUCCACCGCCCCUCGCAUUGAAUUCACUUGGCUUCCUCUCACACCGACCCCUCUUUUCCUCUCUCUCUCUCUCUCCAUUUCUAUAAGAAAUACCCAAAGGAGAGAGCAGGAGGAAAUGGAAGCCAACUAUCACGGAUUUCCCGCUGGAUCUUCGAAUUUUCUGUCCGUGGUGACGGAAGGAAACCUCUUCCUAUCUCUCUUCUUUUCUUCUUACCCUUUGUUCCCUGUUUUCCUCUGUUCAACUCUCUGUAUGGGCUCUUCCGUUAUUUACGAGUCUGGAAUGAUCGUUCUUGGUGAAAUCUAGAGAGUAAAGAUCGAAUCUUUUGGGUUGGGAAGUGAAGGAUCUGAGGAAAAGAUGAGAACUUUGGGAUUUUGGAUUCUGUUUCUUGCCGCCGGAGCGGCUCUGUCUUUGAGCAGAAGUGGCGGCAAUGUUGGAGAUACAGCCUGUACAAGCCGUGGAGUUGAAAUUUCUGUGCCUGUUAAAGAUUCAGCCUAUACAAGCCAUGGAAUUGAAACUGCUCUGCCUAUUGAAGGUGUAACGGCAAUGAUUACGAACAGGAAAUUGAAGGAUACAUGCAACAAAUCUACCAUAUUGUAAUUGAUGUACGACGCACAACCGAGUACUUGGUAAUGGAGGCCGUGUGCUGCAAGUUUUUCCCCUGUCACUCCUGAAAUGGUUGAUUGGGUUCCCAGCUACCUUGACCAAGAAGGGGAGCAGUGACAGAACAUGCUGGUGGGAAAGCUAAGAUAAUUUAAUGUUGCUAGUGUUUCAACCAAGAUGAGGAGGAUUUGGAAGGUGGAAGCCCAUCCUAGGGUCCAGGCUUUCUUAUGGAAGGAGUCCCAACAUAGGGUGUGUUCCAUCUCCUCAUGCCGAGAGGUUUAGUCCAGGCCCCUUGUCCCAGGUAUGCUCAACAAGCACAUCAACCAAUGCUUUACUCCAGGCGGACUGCAAAGUGGUCAGCCUUUGUCACCCAUUGAUCAGGUUGUCAUCUAAUUCUAUGGUGAGACAACCUGCAGGGUAAACUGAGUUCAGGAUCUGACCACCUGAAAACUGGAAUUUUUUACCUAGCUUGGUCAGUUUUAGAAAGCUCGCAA
Phoenix dactylifera (date palm) is the source of this 1240-nucleotide non-coding RNA. Lineage: Eukaryota; Viridiplantae; Streptophyta; Magnoliopsida; Arecales; Arecaceae. The record is from RefSeq and is a predicted model, not a curated record.